This 99-nucleotide microRNA precursor is filed under the name Pristionchus pacificus. RNAcentral's name for it is "microRNA ppc-mir-2233 precursor". Lineage: Eukaryota; Metazoa; Nematoda; Chromadorea; Rhabditida; Neodiplogasteridae. The record is from miRBase by way of RNAcentral.
AAUGAGGGAGUGAUUGAACACGAUGACCGCUCGACGGGAGCAUCCAUUGCGAGAUUGCACCCGUAGUCCGUUAUCGUCUUCAACCAACUCCAAUCUCAU